AUCAUUAAGCAGAAAAUAAUUUUUUAUGUGGAAAUGCAUGAUUAUUAAUUUGAAUAAUGAAAUUAUAUUGUAAUUUAUUUUAGCUAAAGAUCACACUAAUCAGUGAUUGUACUUAAUAAAUAUAGAAUUAUUGCAUAAUUUAUAUUAUAU
This 150-nucleotide small RNA is filed under the name Rickettsia prowazekii. Its description in RNAcentral is "partial sR8 non-coding RNA". Lineage: Bacteria; Pseudomonadati; Pseudomonadota; Alphaproteobacteria; Rickettsiales; Rickettsiaceae. The record is from RNAcentral.